RNAcentral lists this small nuclear RNA (320 nucleotides) under Rattus norvegicus (Norway rat). Its description in RNAcentral is "7SK RNA". It matches the Rfam family "7SK RNA". From Rfam's summary of the family: 7SK was discovered as an abundant small nuclear RNA in the mid-70s but a possible function has only recently been suggested. Two independent studies have found that 7SK RNA binds the CDK9/cyclin T complex (known as elongation factor P-TEFb). The record is from Rfam by way of RNAcentral. Lineage: Eukaryota; Metazoa; Chordata; Mammalia; Rodentia; Muridae.
GAAUGGGUCAAGUUUUGUAAAAUCUGUCACCUCACUGAUUGCCAAGGUCAUUUCACUGAUCUGGCUGGCUAGACGGCUAUCCCCAUUUCCCUCGAAACUCUAUAUGCAACCUUCUCCAAUAUGUGGUCUGACACAAAAAGUUAUACUUUGCCCAAAGAAAAAGCCCUUUCUUGGGUCAAGGGUAUCAUGAGUAGCUGCACUCCCGUGCUACUAGAGCCUCUAAACAUGCCCUCAAGGUCCACUUGAGAACAAAGGGUGGUCAAGCAUCCUGUCCUCCAAACACAUCCAAAGGAGACCCUGUGUGAGGAUACUCUAGCCUU